AUUGAACGCUGGCGGCAUGCCUUACACAUGCAAGUCGAACGGUAACGGGUCCUUCGGGAUGCCGACGAGUGGCGAACGGGUGAGUAAUAUAUCGGAACGUGCCCAGUAGUGGGGGAUAACUGCUCGAAAGAGCAGCUAAUACCGCAUACGACCUGAGGGUGAAAGGGGGGGAUCGCAAGACCUCUCGCUAUUGGAGCAGCCGAUAUCAGAUUAGCUAGUUGGUGGGGUAAAGGCCUACCAAGGCAACGAUCGGUAGUUGGUCUGGAAGGACGACCAGCCACACUGGGACUGAGACACGGCCCAGACUCCUACGGGAGGCAGCAGUGGGAAAUUUUGGACAAUGGGCGCAAGCCUGAUCCAGCAAUGCCGCGUGCAGGAAGAAGGCCUUCGGGUCGUAAACUGCUUUUGUCAGGGAAGAAAUCUUCUGGGCUAAUACCCCGGGAGGAUGACGGUACCUGAAGAAUAAGCACCGGCUAACUACGUGCCAGCAGCCGCCGUAA
This 500-nucleotide ribosomal RNA is filed under the name uncultured bacterium. RNAcentral's name for it is "partial 16S ribosomal RNA". It matches the Rfam family "Bacterial small subunit ribosomal RNA", at positions 30 to 523 of the family's 1533-position model. The record is from RNAcentral.